Molecule: ribosomal RNA, 337 nt
Filed under: uncultured cyanobacterium
Lineage: Bacteria; Bacillati; Cyanobacteriota
Description: bacterial SSU rRNA
Rfam family: Bacterial small subunit ribosomal RNA
Source: RNAcentral
GGGGAAUUUUCCGCAAUGGGCGAAAGCCUGACGGAGCAAGACCGCGUGGGGGAGGAAGGUUCUUGGAUUGUCAACCCCUUUUCUCAGGGAAGAACGCAAUGACGGUACCUGAGGAAAAAGCAUCGGCUAACUCCGUGCCAGCAGCCGCGGUAAUACGGGGGAUGCAAGCGUUAUCCGGAAUGAUUGGGCGUAAAGAGUCCGUAGGUAGUCAUCCAAGUCUGCUGUUAAAGAGCGAGGCUUAACCUCGUAAAGGCAGUGGAAACUGGAAGACUAGAGUGUAGUAGGGGCAGAGGGAAUUCCUGGUGUAGCGGUGAAAUGCGUAGAGAUCAGGAAGAAC